Long non-coding RNA from Cyprinus carpio (common carp), 3154 nucleotides. RefSeq lists it as uncharacterized. The transcript is spliced from 4 exons. The record is from RefSeq and is a predicted model, not a curated record. Lineage: Eukaryota; Metazoa; Chordata; Actinopteri; Cypriniformes; Cyprinidae.
ACGUGAUGGAAUUUACCGCUGAUUGGAGAACCGGCUUUACUUUACGAGAUGCGCAUUAAUUAUCGGACGAUAUUUAUCGUGCACCCCUAGAUCUAAAUGUCUUUUCCAAUUAGGCCUCUAUACAGUCAAAGAAUUGUUUUUUACACAGAAUUGUUUAUUACACAGUUGAUGUCCACACAGCUGACAGCUUUACCUGUUGUAGUUUGUUCAAGCUGUGCAAUGACAUGAUAUUUUUUUCGGGUCUUAGGAGGAUAAUGAAUAGUAUUCAUAGCAAUCAGUUCACAUAUACGAUAUAUACAAUUAUUAUUAUUAGAAAAUUAUAAAAUUAAAAUAUUAUAAAAUUAUACAAUUAUUUAGACAAACAGAGGAAAUACAUUGGAUGUUCCCAUUGUGCAAAGAUACAUGCAGGUCAGCCUCUAGGGAUGCAUCAGUAUAAAAAUUGUGGCCAAUACCAAUAAGCUGAUUUAUUUAUUUUUUUAAGAUUAAAAGAGACCUAUUAUGCCCCUUAUUAUCAGUGGUGAGCGGUGACUUUUUUUUAAAAAACCCCACGCUGCAAACUGUAUUAAUCGGCACCAUGUCUUUUGCAAUGAAAUGUGUGAUCGCUUCAGUUGUCUCAAUCUUCCUCCGGGAACCUGCCGGUUAUGGAGAAGCACAAAACAACGAUUUUGUGAUGGUGUCUGUGGGUGUCUUUUUUGUAAUCGCGGCUUUGAACGAUUACAUAAUCUUGGCAUCCAUAAUCGUGAUCGCGAUUAGAAAUUUGAUUAAUUGUGCAGCCCUAAUGUUCAGUCUCCAUGCUUUUCUAUUUUAUUUUAAUUUAUUUGACCCACUUUCAGUGGUCAACAGCCAGCUUUGGUUUUGCGUUUAUACAAUCAUGACUGUAUCUUCUAUAGCUUCUGGAGGGCAGCAAUAAUAAUAAUAAUAAUAAUAAUAAUAAUAAUAAUAACAAUAAUAAUAAGAAUAAUAAUAAAAAUGACCUUUAAAUAAAAUUAUUGACAUGAAAUAACCCUUUUUCCUUUGAAGCUUUUGAACAGUUUGUGUUAAUAUUUUUGCUUAUUUGUUAAGGCAACAUAACUAACAUCCCACCAUACUGCACACACUAAUUAUGACAUAACCACACAAAGAUGAAUGAUAUGAAACAUUUCCUGUGAAUAUUUGACUUCAUACGGAGUUACAUUACAGGCAGUUAUCCCAAGGAAGGGACUGUACCUGCAAUUAGUGUUUAGUUGUGUUUAAAUUAGAAAUCAUAUAUGGCAUCCUCUUCAUUUAAAAUAAAAUGUGGUUUAAUCAGAUUUAUUAAAGUGCAGAAUAAAGCGUAGAUGUACAAAUUGAACAACUGUGUUUGUGUAGGUGGGUAAUUGUAAAUAGAAGGGUUUCUUUCUCUACAGGUGUCCCCAUAACGCUCUACAUUGAGAUCACACUGGAGAUGCGAUUUCUCGAGGAUUGCAAGAGAUGCUGGCUGCUUGGGCAUUAAAGGAGGAGCAACAAGUCUGUGUCACAACAGACAACACAGCAAAUAUAGUGAACGCUGUUGCUAUUAAUAAGUGGAGCAGACUCCAGUGUUUUGGACACAGGACACAUGCUGCACCUAGCAAUUGAACAUGCUUUGAAAGAUGGACUGAUUGACUGUGCACUGAAUGUCUGCAGUGGUGGUGUGGUGCUUCUCCUAUAGCUGGAGACGAAAGAGGGAAUUGUCCAAGGCCCAGAAAGAGCUCAGGUUACCUCAACACAAGCUCAAGACUGAUUUUCCAAAGAGGUGGGGCUCAAAACAAGCAAUGAUUGUCAGGGUGUUGGAACAACAGAGUGCCAUUUCUUGUGUUCUCUCCGUGGUCAGAAUAGCCAGACACUUUUUCCCCACGUCAGGAUGUAAAAGUCCUUGAGGCAGUCAACAACCCCCUUUCUCCACUUGCUGAAUUCACUGAUGCUCUUUCAGGAGAGCAAUAUAAAAGUGUAUCAUAUGUGAAGCCUGUUCUUCAUUUGUUCAACAAUAAAAUCUUUGCAGAGAAAGAGGGAGAAACAGAACUGUCAAAAUGCUGAUGAUACACAGACUGAAGAGUUGCUUGACAUGGCUUCUGCAAUUGAUCCCAGAUUCAAGCUUAAGUACGUCAACAAAGACAGAGUUGAAGCUGUCAAGAUUAGUUUGAAAACUGAAAUGGCAUCAGUAUUUACAGUUAUGAAGCCUCAAUCAUCUGUGAGUGUGACUGUUAGAGAGGAAGCAGAAGACCAAAAUGCACCAGCACUAAAGAAGAUCAAAAAAAAAAAACACUGGACAGCUUCUUUAAAGUGGAUGGACCACAGACCAGCAUCAAUAUCUCUCUUCAGUCUCCAAGACAUGGCCAUAACUGCUGAGCUACAGUCUUAUUUUCUCUCUGCUGCUGUUGAUAGUGAGGAGAAUCCUUUGGUCUGGUGGAAGGAUCAUGCAAAACAAUUCUCAGAACUGUCCCAAGUUAGCACAGAAGUAUUUGUGCAUUUCUGCCACAAGCUCUCCCUCUGAAAAGUAUACAGCAAUGGAGGAAACAUUAGCCACGUUUCCACUGCUGAAACUUUACCCAGGAACUAGGGACUUUGGGCUGGUACUCAGUGUGUUUCCACCACAGGAAGCAGGAUUUAAAUAAAGUUCCGGGUAAAAAAAAAUGCCCCUCAGAAAGUCCCUGCUCGAAAGGUAGUACUUUUUCAAAGGUCUGGAACUUUCGGGGGCGGGACUUGGGCGCUAAACAUGAUGAUUGGUUGAGUUCGCGCAGCAUUGUGAUUUGAACUACCAUUUAUUCAGAUAAUUUUCAAAAUAUUACUGUUAUUGUGUCAUGAAAUGUAGUUUUAAAAGUAUUUCAGGUGAGAAUGUUGUUGUUUAAAACUCAAAUCUUUGGUUUAUUUAUAAAGACAAUUUCGGAGACGAUCAGCGGGAGCUCAGUGCUCAUGUAUCCGCCUAGAGCAGUCUCAACUCGGCUAGUCCUUCUGGCAUUUGCUGCUGACUCUGAUGUCUUUUUAGUGAUUAAAAUUAAAAUAUCAUUUGUUUUGGGUAAAUCUAACAUGCAAUCUUUGGUUUUUAUUCAAUAUAUCUAUAUGUUAAAAUAUAAAUAAAAAGAGGCAAUUGAUAUAAUAUUUCAUUUAAUUUUAAUGUAGGCUGUAUAUAUACACAUUUCCCUGAACUAAGUACAUU